RNAcentral lists this ribosomal RNA (1303 nucleotides) under Staphylococcus pseudintermedius. RNAcentral's name for it is "bacterial SSU rRNA". It matches the Rfam family "Bacterial small subunit ribosomal RNA", at positions 243 to 1533 of the family's 1533-position model. Lineage: Bacteria; Bacillati; Bacillota; Bacilli; Caryophanales; Staphylococcaceae. The record is from RNAcentral.
AGCUAGUUGGUGGGGUAACGGCCUACCAAGGCGACGAUACGUAGCCGACCUGAGAGGGUGAUCGGCCACACUGGAACUGAGACACGGUCCAGACUCCUACGGGAGGCAGCAGUAGGGAAUCUUCCGCAAUGGGCGAAAGCCUGACGGAGCAACGCCGCGUGAGUGAUGAAGGUCUUCGGAUCGUAAAGCUCUGUUGUUAGGGAAGAACAAAUGUGUAAGUAACUGUGCACAUCUUGACGGUACCUAACCAGAAAGCCACGGCUAACUACGUGCCAGCAGCCGCGGUAAUACGUAGGUGGCAAGCGUUAUCCGGAAUUAUUGGGCGUAAAGCGCGCGUAGGCGGUUUUUUAAGUCUGAUGUGAAAGCCCACGGCUCAACCGUGGAGGGUCAUUGGAAACUGGAAAACUUGAGUGCAGAAGAGGAAAGUGGAAUUCCAUGUGUAGCGGUGAAAUGCGCAGAGAUAUGGAGGAACACCAGUGGCGAAGGCGGCUUUCUGGUCUGCAACUGACGCUGAUGUGCGAAAGCGUGGGGAUCAAACAGGAUUAGAUACCCUGGUAGUCCACGCCGUAAACGAUGAGUGCUAAGUGUUAGGGGGUUUCCGCCCCUUAGUGCUGCAGCUAACGCAUUAAGCACUCCGCCUGGGGAGUACGGUCGCAAGACUGAAACUCAAAGGAAUUGACGGGGACCCGCACAAGCGGUGGAGCAUGUGGUUUAAUUCGAAGCAACGCGAAGAACCUUACCAAAUCUUGACAUCCUUUGACCGCUCUAGAGAUAGAGUUUUCCUCUUCGGAGGACAAAGUGACAGGUGGUGCAUGGUUGUCGUCAGCUCGUGUCGUGAGAUGUUGGGUUAAGUCCCGCAACGAGCGCAACCCUUGAACUUAGUUGCCAUCAUUCAGUUGGGCACUCUAAGUUGACUGCCGGUGACAAACCGGAGGAAGGUGGGGAUGACGUCAAAUCAUCAUGCCCCUUAUGAUUUGGGCUACACACGUGCUACAAUGGACAAUACAAAGGGCAGCGAAACCGCGAGGUCAAGCAAAUCCCAUAAAGUUGUUCUCAGUUCGGAUUGUAGUCUGCAACUCGACUACAUGAAGCUGGAAUCGCUAGUAAUCGUAGAUCAGCAUGCUACGGUGAAUACGUUCCCGGGUCUUGUACACACCGCCCGUCACACCACGAGAGUUUGUAACACCCGAAGCCGGUGGAGUAACCAUUUUGGAGCUAGCCGUCGAAGGUGGGACAAAUGAUUGGGGUGAAGUCGUAACAAGGUAGCCGUAUCGGAAGGUGCGGCUGGAUCACCUCCUUUCUA